This 351-nucleotide ribosomal RNA is filed under the name Spodoptera littoralis (African cotton leafworm). RNAcentral's name for it is "partial small subunit ribosomal RNA". The record is from RNAcentral. Lineage: Eukaryota; Metazoa; Arthropoda; Insecta; Lepidoptera; Noctuidae.
AAAAUUUAAAUUAAUAAUACUAAAAUAGUAAAUAAUUAUUUAUUGAAACUUAAAUAAUUUGGCGGUAUUUUAGUUCAUUUAGAGGAAUCUGUUUAAUAAUUGAUAAUCCACGAAUAAAUUUACUUAAUUUUUUAUUUUGUAUAUCGUUGUUAAAAAAAUAUUUUUUAAUAAUAAUAAUAUUUAAAAAUUUUAAUUAAAAAUUAAAUCAGAUCAAGAUGCAGAUUAUAAUUAAGAAUAUAAUGGAUUACAAUAAAUUUAUUUAUAUGAAUAUUAAUUUGUAAAAUUUAAUUGAAGGUGGAUUUAAAUGUAAUUUUAUUUAGUUUAAUAAAAUGAUUGAAAAUUAAGAUAUGU